Molecule: long non-coding RNA, 1291 nt
Filed under: Anser brachyrhynchus (Pink-footed goose)
Lineage: Eukaryota; Metazoa; Chordata; Aves; Anseriformes; Anatidae
Description: lncRNA (ENSABRG00000007575.1)
Source: RNAcentral
UUGAAAGACAGAUGCCAUGCCAGUUUGUUCUCAGUCGUUCCAGUGCCUCCUGGGAGGCUCCUGGGGAGGAGGCACCUCACCAGCCAUAACCAUGAGCACAGCCAUUGCAUGGUCCCUGCCUGUCUGAGUCCCUCACCCACCGCAGAGACUGGGGGGGUGGGGGGGGAGGGAGGUGGAGGGGGUGGCACAAUGCUGGGUGGGGACACGGCCACUAACAGAGCAGAAGAUGUGGAGGCCUCAGGCCGGGGUCCAUGCGUGUGCAGAGUGAUUUCUACAUUGUGCUGGAUUUAAUAGAACCAUAAGGGGCACACAGCCUCCGUCUCCUCCUUUUGCACCAGGAAGAACCAGCAGCAAGCCCCUGAGCCCCCGCGAUGUCAGCACAGCAGCCCUGGAGAAGCAUGCCCAGUCUUCCAGGAAACCUUCAGGAAACCUUUAUUUUUCAGUGAUAUUCUUUCCUCUCAAAAAAUACAAAAUACAAAAAAUACAAUACCCUGAUAUACAAAUGCUUUGUGAGUCUCCUCCUCUGUCCCCUGCCUUGUCUAGAGCUCCCUCCCAGCUGUGACCCACCUACAUCAUCUGGGGUUCCCGGCAUGAGCCUCCAUCACUUGCUGUUGACUUGCAAUGGCAUAAAGAUGAAUAACACAAAACUCCUCCUGUAAACUAGAACAAGGAAAAAAAUGUCAUUUGCUGAUGUCCAUUGCUAAGCUGGAACAGACUGUUUAUUUCAAGUAAUUUCCUAAUAUGAUUUUGAAAUUAUCAGCUAACAACAUAAGUCAAAUUACCACCUAGUUCAGCACGGACAUUGGUGUAUGUGGGCAAUGAUAAUUACAGAUAUGGCUUAGAGAAGCAUUCUUUUACAAGGAAAAAGAAGCUGAAAAGCCAAACAUAUUCACUAUCAUGGACUCAUCUACCCAUUCUGAGGUACUAGACAUUUAAUCCUUCAGUCUUGGCUCACCGUGUGGAUGAAUGCUGUCUUCCCUGCUGCCCUGUUUCUGAGUUAAAAGCUCUGCUACCCCUUCAAACAUUGCCUGUAAGAGCACUGCUUACACCUGUAGGUCCACCUUUCCCUCUUCUCAUCACUAGGCCAUCUGCAGUAAGUACUUAUUCCCACAAAAGCAGCCCUCAAAUGGGUCCCCUCUCAGGGACUGCUGCAGUGUUUGGAAAGUCACCUGAGCCAGCUCCUGUGCUCCUCCACCAUCAAUUUACACCCACACUCCCAAGCUGUGCCCGUACUGUGAUCUGGCCAGAAUCAUAGAAAUUGGUGCCAUCAGGAGCAGGCUCAGCAGCACUU